GAGCGAGCCCUUCCUCUCCCACGUCGCCGGCCAGGUGCUCCAGGGCCUCGACUACCUUCACAGCCGGAAGAUCAUCCACCGCGACAUCAAGCCGUCCAAUCUCCUCAUCAACAGCCAGAAGCAGAUCAAGAUCGCUGACUUUGGGGUCGGGAGAAAAAGGCAACGCCUUUAUUGGGAAAAUUGGAUCAUCUUGCAGCUUCAAUCACUCGCUCACCAACAAACGAUUGUUCUCCAUUACUAUCUUGAUUGUAUUCAUCAACACCAAAGAGAUCUUUGCUUUAGGCUUGCUUUCCUCCUUCAGCCUAAUUUCGCUAUUUCAGGGAAAAUUUGUUCUUCGCUCUGCUAAUUCCAUGGAUAGUAUGAACACAUAAGUGGAUAUCUACGUAACCAUGCAUUUGUGACAUUGCUUGGUUGAGAAGGGAUUGGCUGAGAGAUUGUGGAUGGGUAGUUUGCUUGAGGAUGUACUAUGAGGUUGGGAUUAACAAAACUGUCACUGUCGAGACCUUUGCCAAUCUCCUUCAGGUUUCAUAAGAAUUUUUCGCUAAUUCAGGUACAUAUUUCAUAAAAUUAUGAAUAAUCAGGUUAUCACUGGUUUCGUUUGUUUUUUCCAUGUCAAACAGGUUUCUUGUUAUUUUUUCAUGUCAAACCGCUAUAUUUCAUAUCAAAUCAGGUACGCAGUUCAUACCAAUAGAAUCAUGUUAUUCUAGGUUUCAUAUGAUUUUUUAUGUCAAAUAGAUAUUGAUAAUGAAUUCGGUUAUUUACUAUUUGUUCAUGUUACAUUCACAUCUUUAUUAUUGAAUCCAAUCCUUGUGCUUCCCAACUCUUGUCACAAACAAUGUGUAUUACAUCUGUUAUCAAAACUGUUGUAUUUUUGUUGUCGUUAAACUUACUUUUUCAACAUUUAUGAUUAUUGAAAUGAAUAUCCCAAUUUUAAAGAUAGGAGUAUGCAUUCUUUAUUCUCCCCGCGUUACGC
Long non-coding RNA from Asparagus officinalis (garden asparagus), 973 nucleotides. RefSeq lists it as uncharacterized. The transcript is spliced from 5 exons. NCBI's taxonomy places the organism in Eukaryota, Viridiplantae, Streptophyta, Magnoliopsida, Asparagales, Asparagaceae. The record is from RefSeq and is a predicted model, not a curated record.